Molecule: unclassified non-coding RNA, 208 nt
Filed under: uncultured fungus
Lineage: Eukaryota; Fungi
Description: sequence contains ITS1
Source: RNAcentral
UUACUUUUCGUUUAUCAUUUGUUCAGACUUCAGAAUUCCGCAUGGGUUUGUAAGGCCGGCCGCGGGGUCUACCACCGCUAACUCAAUAGUGGGGUCUCGCCCGGGGCCGAAGCGAUGUGAGUUGCUUUCGCGUCUCAUGACAAAGGGCGGGUAGCGGGCACGAGGCCCAGACCCAGUAAUGAUCCUUCCGCAGGUUCACCUACGGAAA